UCCCAUGUGGCUCAGUUGGUAGAGCAUGGUGUUUGCAACAUUAGGGUUGUGGGUUUGAUUCCCAUGGGGGAC
RNAcentral lists this transfer RNA (72 nucleotides) under Salmo salar (Atlantic salmon). It matches the Rfam family "tRNA". From Rfam's summary of the family: Transfer RNA (tRNA) molecules are approximately 80 nucleotides in length. Their secondary structure includes four short double-helical elements and three loops (D, anti-codon, and T loops). The record is from Rfam by way of RNAcentral. Lineage: Eukaryota; Metazoa; Chordata; Actinopteri; Salmoniformes; Salmonidae.